RNAcentral lists this ribosomal RNA (539 nucleotides) under Trigonosporomyces aff. hylophilus UCDFST 79-1005. Its description in RNAcentral is "eukaryotic LSU rRNA". It matches the Rfam family "Eukaryotic large subunit ribosomal RNA", at positions 62 to 648 of the family's 3401-position model. The record is from RNAcentral. Lineage: Eukaryota; Fungi; Basidiomycota; Microbotryomycetes; Chrysozymaceae.
AAACUAACAAGGAUUCCCCCAGUAACGGCGAGUGAAGAGGGAAAAGCUCAAAUUUGUAAUCUGGCACCUUCGGUGUCCGAGUUGUAAUCUCUAGAAAUGUUUUCUGCGCUGAACCAUGUCUAAGUCCGUUGGAACACGGCGUCAUAGUGGUGAGAACCCAGUACAUGAUGUGGAUGCUCAGUGCUUUAUGAUACAUUUUCAACGAGUCGAGUUGUUUGGGAAUGCAGCUCAAAUUGGGUGGUAAAUUCCAUCUAAAGCUAAAUAUUGGCGAGAGACCGAUAGCGAACAAGUACCGUGAGGGAAAGAUGAAAAGCACUUUGGAAAGAGAGUUAAAAGUACGUGAAAUUGUUGAAAGGGAAACGUUUGAAACUAUACUUGCUUUAUGGUUCGCCAUAUCGCAGGCCAGCAUCAGUUUCUGGGUGUAGAAAAGGGUAUUUAGAAUGUGGCAGCUUCGGCUGUGUUAUAGCUUUUUACUAGAUCUACACUUGGGGACUGAGGACCGCAGCUUUGCUUAGGAUGUUGGUUUGGUUUUAAACGAC